GGCAGGGGUGAGGUAAACCUCCUUGCGGAUGAUGGUGUCGUUUUUGUAGUUGGAGUUGUUGGCGUAUCGGAGCUUGCCAUCUGGCCUGAACUCGAACUCCAAGAACUCGUGACCGAACUUCCCUUUGUGUCCCACGUAAUAUCGAAGGUAGAACUCUCCGUUCUCCUCUUCGCUCGUCAUUUCUCUGCUUUUCUCUUCUCUUUUGGGUUUCGCUUUCUCUCUGCACAACGACGCAGAGAAAAAGAAAGCCAAAGAAGCAGUGGUAAUUUGGUAAAUAUGCGUUGAGGUGUGUAAAUCCCUAAAUGGGCUGAAAGCCCAAUAUCCAUCUGAACCAAGGAUGCCAACAAUAAUUAUCAAGCCCAAUUAAUAAAAAAUGAAACAGCCCAUAGGAAUUAAGUAAAUAUCAUUUUUGAUCCGCCAGAUUCAUCACUAUUUUUUUAAAGGACAAAGCAUUCCCUAUUCCCUGGUUACUUAACAUAUUUUCCUUCAACUCAAACAUGAGAUCAUAUGAUCUUCUCUCUGCAUCAUAUGUCAAAAACUAAUGCUUAUUAUUCCAUGCAUAAUGAAUAUCUUAAUUUCACAAGAAAUAUGAAAGGAAUUUUCUACUAGCUGUCAAGCAUUCUCUUCAUCUAGUUGAUUGAGUUGAAUAAAUGUAUAUAUUUCAAGGUAAGAAAUUCACAAUAUUGAAACAUAUAGUAAAAUGUCAAUGAAGAAGGUGCACAACAGAGAACAUGGAAGAGAAGUACUGGAUAGGAAAUCAGCUGUUAACUAAUUCUGUUAAAAAUUGUAAUGACACGAACAGAAUGAGAGGAGAGGAAAAUAGGAGAUUGGCCAAAGCUUGGAGACGGAUUUCAAAGUCAGAAAGGAAGUUAGGUCAUGAAAGAAGGCAAAACUCUCAAAAGUUCCUUUAAUAUGACUCUGAGUUAAACAUGUAUAAAAGAAAGAAACAUGAAAGUAAAAUCAAUGAGAAUAAAGUGGACAGGAAUGAAGUUGUGAAGAGUUUGGACGGUGCUAUAUAGACUACUGCAACUUUUUUUGGCAUCAUAAAGACACAAGAUGAGUUGUUUGCCAAAGAGUUGCCCAAAAAUAUCUAAUUGGGCAUUAAGGAUUAUUGUUUUUUAGAAGAGAGAACACAAAAAGGAGCUAAGACAAGAAGGUGCUUAUAGAGUUAAAAUCUUUUCUUCAGUGAUAGUAACAGCAAAAAAACUGGAAAUCAAGUCAGAUCAUCUAGCACAGGAGCGAUAUAAAAUUGAUAUAAUGAUCAUAUGAUAUGCUUUUAGUUCAUCUACUUCCAGAUAUAGCAUUUGACCAAAGCAAAAAGCAUACGAAACACCAUUUAAGCGGUGAUGAAAGUUAGUUAGAAAAUUUCUACCAGAAGCAUCUCCAUAGAGAAGUUGGUGUGUGUGUGUGUGUGUGUGUGUAUAAGUGAAUAUAGUAAGAAUGAAAUAGAAUAAAUGUUCACUUUUUCCAGGAGGAGAAAACAAAAACAAAGUUUUGCACUUUACUAUAUACAAACAACUGGUGCAAGGAUUAUUUCUCAGUAUAAAUAUUUGCAGCAACCAAAGGUGAAAAAAGGGGACAUAUGCACCAUACAAAAUUACCUAGACAGGAUCUGACAAAAUAAAUCCAUCAAAAGCAACUAUCAAUCAGCUUACCUGAACAAGGUAGUAAAAGAUGCGAAGACCUUCUGGAUCUGCACUACUCUGAACAUCCACCAGAGACCCAAUCUUGGAGGUUGUGAAGGAGAUGUGCUCGUUUCCCAUCACAAUCUCAAGCUCCUGCCUGCCAACACGGUCAGGUUCCGGCCAGUUGUUAUCAUCUUCCUUCAUGAUCUGAACAAGACCAACUCAUCAGAAAGCAGAACAAAGCAAAAACAAAAACCCUCAAAAGACUUUUGAGAAGGAAUGGGUUAAAAUACUCAAAAUAGGCAUCGCUCAAGUGACGGGUUAUGAACUAACAAGGCACCACAGAAUCAAAUUAGAAAAUCUACAUGAUAGUUAUUGCAGCAUAGUGUGUCAUGGCUAUGUUUCCAUUGUUAUCCAAGCACAGCUUGGUUCAAAAUGAAAUAAGAGGAGUUUAGCAGUCUGUUAGAUGUAUGCAUCUAGAGGAAGAACAUGCAAAAAAUAAUAAUGCCCAAACAUCUUUACUUGAGAGACAAUCCUUUUCCUAACCUAUGGCACAAUCUUAAACUAUUACAUAAAAUCAUGAAUAGUAAAAGAAGCUUGCAAGUUUUCAUAAAGAUGAACGGUUUAUGGGUGUAAACUUGUAGUGAGAACAUAUUCUGGGUGCUGCUGCUCCACGUGAUGCAAUCUUCUUAUAAGUACCAUAUCAGGACUGUUCAAAAGGUUUCUGGUGCCGGCAAUUCGGCAAAAAUAACACUAUAUUCUAUCAUAAGAUCAACAAAACGGCAAACACUACAAAUAUACAGCAAUUUCUUAAUUCAGCUCAUCAUUAUCAACAUGCUUAAACGAAUUGUACCAUAGAUGUCGAACACAAGAAGAUUCCAAUUUAAAUGGUACACAGCACAACAUCUUUGCUUAAGAUUCAAGGGCAGAUGAAGAAACUAAACAUUGUCGGUUCAUUGUCACCGAUGCCAUACAGUUGAAAAGAAUGAGAGCAUUACGAGAACAAGUUAACCCAUUAUGACAACUAACACAGAAGAUAACAAGUGCAAGCAUAAAAAAGAACAAAUAAAAAAAACACAAUCUCUUUCCGGAUCAAAAGGAGAAUUUGAAACUUGAAAGUAACAAACUCAUUACAAAACAAGUGGCACCUCACCAAUCACAAUCCAAACGAGCUAGACACGAAUUUUGCACAAAAUGAACAAUCUUAUCAGCAUUCCUUUAUUGGACAAGUUCAUCUCUUCCCAUGCCAAAAAACCACAUAUAUUACAGGUUUUCUACGGUAAGCCUAAUUUAUCCCCAUCAUUUUCUGAAUGGUAAUAGAAAUUGUUUUUUUCAGGACCUAAGAAACUAUGCUCUCCCAUGUUUUUUAAUUAUUAACAAUAUUAGAGAUUUACUGAAAAACAAAAAAGCACAGUAAGUAAACCCCCAAAUUCUACUAAAAUCCACGGAUUUAAACUUCGAUUGCGCUGCGCAAAACAGCAGCAACCGAUGCAGUGGGCACCGCAACAGAAAUCGAUCUAAAACCUGACUCUAAGAAUCUAAACCCUCAGAAAUUCAAAUUCUGACAAUAGCCUCUCUCAAUUUUUUUUACUAUUCUAAAUAAUUUUUUGGUUGUACUUCGCAAAUCUGAGGCGGCAAUACCGAAAUGCGCUUCUCACUCAAACAAAACAAAUAAAUAAAUAAAUUGAAGAUUAUAACCCUAAAAGUUAAAGAAAAGGAAGAAAAGAGCGUGUGAGUUAGUGUCGUUUACCUCGCUGUCGGAGAUGAUACGACGGCACUCGCGGAGAACGGCAGGGGUGAGGUAAACCUCCUUGCGGAUGAUGGUGUCGUUUUUGUAGUUGGAGUUGUUGGCGUAUCGGAGCUUGCCAUCUGGCCUGAACUCGAACUCCAAGAACUCGUGACCGAACUUCCCUUUGUGUCCCACGUAAUAUCGAAGGUAGAACUCUCCGUUCUCCUCUUCGCUCGUCAUUUCUCUGCUUUUCUCUUCUCUUUUGGGUUUCGCUUUCUCUCUGCACAACGACGCAGAGAAAAAGAAA
RNAcentral lists this long non-coding RNA (3661 nucleotides) under Arachis ipaensis. Its description in RNAcentral is "long non-coding RNA (AIPA_LNC002140)". The record is from RNAcentral. Lineage: Eukaryota; Viridiplantae; Streptophyta; Magnoliopsida; Fabales; Fabaceae.